RNAcentral lists this long non-coding RNA (234 nucleotides) under Bos indicus x Bos taurus (hybrid cattle). Its description in RNAcentral is "lncRNA (ENSBIXG00000013568.1)". Lineage: Eukaryota; Metazoa; Chordata; Mammalia; Artiodactyla; Bovidae. The record is from RNAcentral.
ACACACAAUUAAGAUCCUGUUUGGUGAAAAAGAAUUUUUACCCAGCACAUAUAUUAGCAAGUUCAUUGGUCAGAAUGUGUGCAACCAUGUGGUAACUGAUGUGUGUAGCAAAUAAACUAUAUUGUUCUUUGGAAAUGAUCCCCCAAAUUUAAAAAAGAGUCAUAUUGACGUAUACUUAGCACAGAAUCCAACAGGAACGGCAGUUCAAAAUGUGCUAGACUAUCGUCAAGAAUG